GGCUUUGUGGUGUAAAGCAUAUUAGAUUGCAAAUCUAAAGAUGUGGGUUUAAUACCCACCAAGGCCU
This 67-nucleotide transfer RNA is filed under the name Saccopharynx lavenbergi. Its description in RNAcentral is "tRNA-Cys". It matches the Rfam family "tRNA". From Rfam's summary of the family: Transfer RNA (tRNA) molecules are approximately 80 nucleotides in length. Lineage: Eukaryota; Metazoa; Chordata; Actinopteri; Anguilliformes; Saccopharyngidae. The record is from RNAcentral.